RNAcentral lists this ribosomal RNA (497 nucleotides) under uncultured bacterium. Its description in RNAcentral is "partial 16S ribosomal RNA". It matches the Rfam family "Bacterial small subunit ribosomal RNA", at positions 28 to 507 of the family's 1533-position model. The record is from RNAcentral.
GAUGAACGCUGGCGGCGUGCCUAAUACAUGCAAGUCGAGCGAACGGACGAGAAGCUUGCUUCUCUGAUGUUAGCGGCGGACGGGUGAGUAACACGUGGAUAACCUACCUAUAAGACUGGGAUAACUUCGGGAAACCGGAGCUAAUACCGGAUAAUAUUUUGAACCGCAUGGUUCAAAAGUGAAAGACGGUCUUGCUGUCACUUAUAGAUGGAUCCGCGCUGCAUUAGCUAGUUGGUAAGGUAACGGCUUACCAAGGCAACGAUGCAUAGCCGACCUGAGAGAGUGAUCGGCCACACGGGAACUGAGACACGGACCAGACUCCUACGGGAGGCAGCAGUAGGGAAUCGUCCGCAAUGGGCGAAAGCCUGACGGAGCAACGCCGCGUGAGUGAUGAAGGUCUUCGGAUCGUAAAACUCUGUUAUUAGGGAAGAACAUAUGUGUAAGUAACUGAGCACAUCGUGACGGUACCUAAUCAGAAAGCCACGGCUAACUACGUG